Molecule: small RNA, 86 nt
Filed under: Pseudorhodoplanes sinuspersici
Lineage: Bacteria; Pseudomonadati; Pseudomonadota; Alphaproteobacteria; Hyphomicrobiales
Description: Bradyrhizobiaceae sRNA BjrC68
Rfam family: Bradyrhizobiaceae sRNA BjrC68
Source: Rfam by way of RNAcentral
CCAGAGUCGCGCGGCGGGGCGUAUACCCGGCACCGCCCCUUCGCCGGAUGGAGGCCUCGGUCGCAAGACCGGGGCCUCUUUCGUUG